GGGAGCAAGCGUUAUCCGGAAUCAUUGGGCGUAAAGCGCCUGUAGGUUGUUUAUUAAGUCUGUGGUUAAAGACUAGGGCUCAACCCUAGGAAAGCAAUGGAAACUAAUAGACUAGAGUAUGGCAGGGGUAGAGGGAAUUUCUAGUGUAGCGGUGAAAUGCGUAGAUAUUAGAAAGAACACCGGUGGCGAAAGCGCUCUACUGGACCAUUACUGACACUCAGAGGCGAAAGCUAGGGUAGCAAAAGGGAUUAGAUACCCCUGUAGUCCUAGCCGUAAACGAUGGAUACUAGAUGUUGUGCAUAAAGUACAGUAUCGCAGCUAACGCGUUAAGUAUCCCGCCUGGGGAGUACGCUCGCAAGGGUGAAACUCAAAGGAAUUGACGGGGGCCCGCACAAGCGGUGGAGCAUGUGGUUUAAUUCGAUGCAACGCGAAGAACCUUACCAGGGCUUGACAUACUACAGAUCUUUUUGAGAAAGAAGAGUGCCUUCGGGAAUGUAGAUACAGGUGGUGCAUGGCUGUCGUCAGCUCGUGUCGUGAGAUGUUGGGUUAAGUCCCGCAACGAGCGCAACCCUCGUUUUUAGUUGCCAAUUUAUUGGGAUCUCUAGAAAGACUGCCGGUGACAAACCGGAGGAAGGUGAGGAUGACGUCAAGUCAGCAUGCCCCUUAUGUCCUGGGCCACACACGUGCUACAAUGGUAAAGACAAAGAGUCGCCAAUUCGCGAGAAUGAGCUAAUCUCAUAA
Molecule: ribosomal RNA, 741 nt
Filed under: uncultured marine haptophyte
Lineage: Eukaryota; Haptophyta
Description: bacterial SSU rRNA
Rfam family: Bacterial small subunit ribosomal RNA
Source: RNAcentral